CAAAGUGUGGCUAAAAUAGUAAAGCAUCUCCCUUACACCGAGAAAAUAUCCAUGCAAAUUGGGUCACUUUGA
RNAcentral lists this transfer RNA (72 nucleotides) under Sphaerichthys osphromenoides (chocolate gourami). RNAcentral describes it as "tRNA-Val". It matches the Rfam family "tRNA". Rfam says of the family: Transfer RNA (tRNA) molecules are approximately 80 nucleotides in length. Lineage: Eukaryota; Metazoa; Chordata; Actinopteri; Anabantiformes; Osphronemidae. The record is from RNAcentral.